ACAGGACUCAGAAGCUGCUAUCGAAAAACCCAAAGAAUCCUUAUGAGGAGUCGAGCAGAGACGUGAGGAGUCGCAGGCCUGCUGACACUGAGGAUGGGAUGUCCUCUUGCCCUCAACCUUGGGGUCAAUGCAACCAACUUCAUGGAGGCAGGAGCCCCGGUUAUGUGGAAUGGGCACAGAGCAAGGCUGCUGGAUUCCAGUAUCCAGUGAUAAGGGCUCCUGUCCCCAGAAUUUUCCCUCUUGGUGUGAUUGCACAGAAUUUGUAUGUAUUUUCAGUUACAAGAUUGUAAGUAAAUUGCCUGAUUUAUUUUCAUUAUAGACAAC
RNAcentral lists this small RNA (324 nucleotides) under Pan troglodytes (chimpanzee). RNAcentral's name for it is "retained intron". The record is from RNAcentral. Lineage: Eukaryota; Metazoa; Chordata; Mammalia; Primates; Hominidae.